This 638-nucleotide ribosomal RNA is filed under the name Serratia sp. (in: enterobacteria). RNAcentral's name for it is "bacterial SSU rRNA". It matches the Rfam family "Bacterial small subunit ribosomal RNA", at positions 56 to 683 of the family's 1533-position model. Lineage: Bacteria; Pseudomonadati; Pseudomonadota; Gammaproteobacteria; Enterobacterales; Yersiniaceae. The record is from RNAcentral.
UGCAGUCGAGCGGUAGCACAAGGAGAGCUUGCUCUCUGGGUGACGAGCGGCGGACGGGUGAGUAAUGUCUGGGAAACUGCCUGAUGGAGGGGGAUAACUACUGGAAACGGUAGCUAAUACCGCAUAACGUCGCAAGACCAAAGAGGGGGACCUUCGGGCCUCUUGCCAUCAGAUGUGCCCAGAUGGGAUUAGCUAGUAGGUGGGGUAAUGGCUCACCUAGGCGACGAUCCCUAGCUGGUCUGAGAGGAUGACCAGCCACACUGGAACUGAGACACGGUCCAGACUCCUACGGGAGGCAGCAGUGGGGAAUAUUGCACAAUGGGCGCAAGCCUGAUGCAGCCAUGCCGCGUGUGUGAAGAAGGCCUUCGGGUUGUAAAGCACUUUCAGCGAGGAGGAAGGUGGUGAACUUAAUACGUUCAUCAAUUGACGUUACUCGCAGAAGAAGCACCGGCUAACUCCGUGCCAGCAGCCGCGGUAAUACGGAGGGUGCAAGCGUUAAUCGGAAUUACUGGGCGUAAAGCGCACGCAGGCGGUUUGUUAAGUCAGAUGUGAAAUCCCCGGGCUCAACCUGGGAACUGCAUUUGAAACUGGCAAGCUAGAGUCUCGUAGAGGGGGGUAGAAUUCCAGGUGUAGCGGUG